Molecule: ribosomal RNA, 497 nt
Filed under: uncultured bacterium
Lineage: Bacteria
Description: partial 16S ribosomal RNA
Rfam family: Bacterial small subunit ribosomal RNA
Source: RNAcentral
GAUGAACGCUGGCGGCGUGCCUAAUACAUGCAAGUCGAGCGAACGGACGAGAAUCUUGCUUCUCUGAUGUUAGCGGCGGACGGGUGAGUAACACGUGGAUAACCUACCUAUAAGACUGGGAUAACUUCGGGAAACCGGAGCUAAUACCGGAUAAUAUUUUGAACCGCAUGGUUCAAAAGUUAAAGACGGUCUUGCUGUCACUUAUAGAUGGAUCCGCGCUGCAUUAGCUAGUUGUUAAGGUAACGGCUUACCAAGGCAACGAUGCAUAGCCGACCUGAGAGGGUGAUCGGCCACAUUGGAACUGAGACACGGUCCAGACUACUACGGGAGGCAGCAGUAGGGAAUCUUCCGCAAUGGGAGAAAGCAUGACGGAGCAACGCCGAGUGAGUGAUGAAGGUCUUCGGAUCGUAAAACUCUGUUAUUAGGGAAGAACAUAUGUGUAAGUAACUGUGCACAUAUUGACGGUAACUAAUCAGAAAGCCACGGCUAACUACGUG